This 331-nucleotide ribosomal RNA is filed under the name uncultured Butyrivibrio sp. Its description in RNAcentral is "bacterial SSU rRNA". It matches the Rfam family "Bacterial small subunit ribosomal RNA", at positions 28 to 339 of the family's 1533-position model. The record is from RNAcentral. Lineage: Bacteria; Bacillati; Bacillota; Clostridia; Lachnospirales; Lachnospiraceae.
GAUGAACGCUGGCGGCGUGCCUAACACAUGCAAGUCGAACGGGGUGUGUUCGCCGUUGAAGCUUCGGCAGAGACAUGAACACACUUAGUGGCGGACGGGUGAGUAACGCGUGGGCAACCUGCCCCGUACCGGGGGAUAGCAGUUGGAAACGACUGAUAAUACCGCAUAAGCGCACGGUGUCGCAUGGCACAGUGUGAAAAACUCCGGUGGUACGGGAUGGGCCCGCGUCUGAUUAGCCAGUUGGCAGGGUAACGGCCUACCAAAGCGACGAUCAGUAGCCGGCCUGAGAGGGCGGACGGCCACAUUGGGACUGAGACACGGCCCAAACUCC